Molecule: unclassified non-coding RNA, 220 nt
Filed under: plant metagenome
Description: partial contains small subunit ribosomal RNA, internal transcribed spacer 1, and 5.8S ribosomal RNA
Source: RNAcentral
UUUCCGUAGGUGAACCUGCGGAAGGAUCAUUACAGAGUUCAUGCCCUCACGGGUAGAUCUCCCACCCUUGAAUAUUUAUACCUUAGUUGCUUUGGCAGGCCGUGGAAACACCAUGGGCUCCGGCUUAUGCGUGCCUGCCAGAGGAAACAAACUCUGUUUUUAGUGAUGUCUGAGUACUAUAUAAUAGUUAGAACUUUCAACAACGGAUCUCUUGGUUCUG